GGCCAGCAGCCGCGGUAAGACGAAGGAUGCAAGCGUUAUCCGGAUUCAUUGGGUUUAAAGGGAGCGUAGGCGGUCUAUUAAGUCAGUGGUGAAAGCCGGUAGCUUAACUAUCGAAUUGCCAUUGAUACUGGUAGACUUGAGUACAGAUGCUGUGGGCGGAAUAUGACAUGUAGUGGUGAAAUACAUAGAGAUGUCAUAGAACACCGAUUGCGAAGGCAGCUCACAAAACUGUAACUGACGCUGAGGCUCGAAAGUGUGGGGAUCAAACAGGAUUAGAUACCCUGGUAGUCCACACUGUAAACGAUGAUUACUCGCUGCUGGGGGGCAACUUCCAGUGGCUUAGCGAAAGCGAUAAGUAAUCCACCUGGGGAGUACGCCGGCAACGGUGAAACUCAAAGGAAUUGACGGGGGCCCGCACAAGU
RNAcentral lists this ribosomal RNA (422 nucleotides) under uncultured bacterium. RNAcentral describes it as "bacterial SSU rRNA". It matches the Rfam family "Bacterial small subunit ribosomal RNA", at positions 506 to 930 of the family's 1533-position model. The record is from RNAcentral.